GUUUAGUAGCCUUGAAAAAUAUGCACAGGAUAAUUUAGCCCUGGAAGGGAAACUUUGCAUACCUUAAAAGUCAAACAAACGUACAAUUCUCGUAAAUGUCUGCCUGGAAGAGACUUCAAGACACCUGUGAGUGGAAGGAAAGUCAGAAGUUAAAGUCGAUGAAUGCAGUCUUGCUUUCUCCCUGCUUUGCUCACGGUGCUGUCCACCGUGCCUAGAACAGUGCCUGGCACAUGGGAAACCCCAAUAAAGACUGUGGCCUAAUCGCUCCUGUCUUCUGUCUGCUGACCACCCAUGUGGCCCUGGGUGUCACGCUGUGCCUCCUGUCUCUAGGACCUGUUUCUUGGUCCUUCCUGUGCUGAUGGGAAAUGGCAGAGAGAAGAGGUAAGGGGGAUUAAGGCAGGGGGCG
Molecule: long non-coding RNA, 406 nt
Organism: Equus asinus (donkey)
Lineage: Eukaryota; Metazoa; Chordata; Mammalia; Perissodactyla; Equidae
Source: Ensembl